CCUACGGGUGGCAGCAGUAGGGAAUAUUGCUCAAUGGGGGAAACCCUGAAGCAGCAAAGCCGCGUGGAGGAUGAAGGUUUUAGGGUUGUAAACUCCUUUUGAUAGGGAAGAUAAUGACGGUAUCUAACGAAUAAUCACCGGCUAACUCCGUGCCAGCAGCCGCGGUAAUACGGAGGGGGCAAGCGUUACUCGGAAUCACUGGGCGUAAGGAGCGCGUAGGCGGGAUAGCAAGUCAGAUGUGAAAUUCUAGGGCUUAACCAUAGAACUGCCUUUGAAACUGGUAUUCUAGAGUAUGUGUGAGGUAGGUGGAAUUCUUGGUGUAGGGGUAAAAUCCGUAGAUAUCAAGCGGAA
RNAcentral lists this ribosomal RNA (351 nucleotides) under uncultured bacterium. Its description in RNAcentral is "partial 16S ribosomal RNA". It matches the Rfam family "Bacterial small subunit ribosomal RNA", at positions 338 to 706 of the family's 1533-position model. The record is from RNAcentral.